This 422-nucleotide ribosomal RNA is filed under the name uncultured bacterium. RNAcentral describes it as "bacterial SSU rRNA". It matches the Rfam family "Bacterial small subunit ribosomal RNA", at positions 29 to 453 of the family's 1533-position model. The record is from RNAcentral.
AAUGAACGCUGGCGGAAUGCUUUACGCAUGCAAGUCGAACGGCAGCACGGGGCAACCUGGUGGCGAGUGGCGAACGGGUGAGUAAUACAUCGGAACGUGCCCAAUCGUGGGGGAUAACGUAGCGAAAGUUACGCUAAUACCACAUACGAUCUACGGAUGAAAGCGGGGGAUCGCAAGACCUCGCGCGAGUGGAGCGGCCGAUGUCAGAUUAGGUAGUUGGUGGGGUAAAGGCUCACCAAGCCAACGAUCUGUAGCUGGUCUGAGAGGACGACCAGCCACACUGGAACUGAGACACGGUCCAGACUCCUACGGGAGGCAGCAGUGGGGAAUUUUGGACAAUGGGCGCAAGCCUGAUCCAGCCAUUCCGCGUGCAGGAUGAAGGCCUUCGGUUGUAAACGUAGCUUUUGUUACGGUAACGAAAC